Molecule: ribosomal RNA, 375 nt
Filed under: Triticum aestivum (bread wheat)
Lineage: Eukaryota; Viridiplantae; Streptophyta; Magnoliopsida; Poales; Poaceae
Description: partial small subunit ribosomal RNA
Source: RNAcentral
AUGUCCAUCGCAACAACAGGUACUUCACCGUCGGCCGCCCUUCUUCUCGCCGGGCACAAUACCACAAGGACACCACCGCCGCCGCCUCGCCCUGCUCACUGCGCCGCUCGCCUGGCCCUACUCGCCGCGCCACCGGACUGCCACGCUCGCCUGGCCGUGCUUGCUGCUUGCUGGAGAGAGAGAGAGAGGGGGGGGCACCGCCGUAUGCUAGUGCAGCGUCGGGUGGCCGAUGCUGGAGGGAGGAGCUCCUCUGUAGUGGCCGUCACGUGCCAUGCUCGAGGGAAGAGGUCGUCGCGCGCCCGAGCAAAUAGGCUGCUGUGCGUCCGAGGGAAGAAGCCGCCGCACUCCUGCACUGAGCAAUCGACGGUGGAGUGA